This 279-nucleotide ribosomal RNA is filed under the name uncultured bacterium. RNAcentral describes it as "partial 16S ribosomal RNA". It matches the Rfam family "Bacterial small subunit ribosomal RNA", at positions 506 to 784 of the family's 1533-position model. The record is from RNAcentral.
UGCCAGCAGCCGCGGUAAUACAUAGGGGUCAAGCGUUGUCCGGAAUAACUGGGCGUAAAGCGAGCGUAGGCGGAUUUGUAAGUUGGAGGUGAAAUCCCAGGGCUUAACCCUGGAACUGCCUUCAAAACUACAUUUCUUGAGUUUGGUAGAGGAGAGUGGAAUUCCUAGUGUAGAGGUGAAAUUCGUAGAUAUUAGGAGGAACACCAGUGGCGAAGGCGACUCUCUGGGCCAAUACUGACGCUGAGGUUCGAAAGCGUGGGGAGCGAACGGGAUUAGAUA